CACGUGAGCAACGUGCCCAUAACUCUGGGAUAACCUCCGGAAACGGUGGCUAAUACUGGAUAUCUAACACGAUCGCAUGGUCUGUGUUUGGAAAGAUUUUUUGGUUAUGGAUCGGCUCACGGCCUAUCAGCUUGUUGGUGAGGUAAUGGCUCACCAAGGCGACGACGGGUAGCCGGCCUGAGAGGGUGACCGGCCACACUGGGACUGAGACACGGCCCAGACUCCUACGGGAGGCAGCAGUGGGGAAUAUUGCACAAUGGGCGAAAGCCUGAUGCAGCAACGCCGCGUGAGGGAUGACGGCCUUCGGGUUGUAAACCUCUUUUAGUAGGGAAGAAGCGAAAGUGACGGUACCUGCAGAAAAAGCACCGGCUAACUACGUGCCAGCAGCCGCGGUAAUACGUAGGGUGCAAGCGUUGUCCGGAAUUAUUGGGCGUAAAGAGCUCGUAGGCGGUUUGUCGCGUCUGCUGUGAAAUCCCGAGGCUCAACCUCGGGUCUGCAGUGGGUACGGGCAGACUAGAGUGUGGUAGGGGAGAUUGGAAUUCCUGGUGUAGCGGUGGAAUGCGCAGAUAUCAGGAGGAACACCGAUGGCGAAGGCAGAUCUCUGGGCCAUUACUGACGCUGAGGAGCGAAAGCAUGGGGAGCGAACAGGAUUAGAUACCCUGGUAGUCCAUGCCGUAAACGUUGGGCGCUAGAUGUGGGGACCAUUCCACGGUUUCCGUGUCGUAGCUAACGCAUUAAGCGCCCCGCCUGGGGAGUACGGCCGCAAGGCUAAAACUCAAAGGAAUUGACGGGGGCCCGCACAAGCGGCGGAGCAUGCGGAUUAAUUCGAUGCAACGCGAAGAACCUUACCAA
This 852-nucleotide ribosomal RNA is filed under the name Pseudoclavibacter terrae. RNAcentral's name for it is "bacterial SSU rRNA". It matches the Rfam family "Bacterial small subunit ribosomal RNA", at positions 114 to 977 of the family's 1533-position model. Lineage: Bacteria; Bacillati; Actinomycetota; Actinomycetes; Micrococcales; Microbacteriaceae. The record is from RNAcentral.